UACCUCCCUUCACUUAUCAGAAUACAUAUGUUGAAUAAAUGCUCAUUGUAUUAAUGUAGUUAUUCUCAAUAUCACCAGACUACAGUAUUAUAAUGCACAUUUAUUCAACAUAUGUAUUCUGAUAAGUGAAGGGAGGUA
Non-coding RNA from Pelobates cultripes (western spadefoot toad), 138 nucleotides. NCBI's taxonomy places the organism in Eukaryota, Metazoa, Chordata, Amphibia, Anura, Pelobatidae. The record is from the annotation of a GenBank genome assembly.